Molecule: ribosomal RNA, 253 nt
Filed under: uncultured bacterium
Lineage: Bacteria
Description: partial 16S ribosomal RNA
Rfam family: Bacterial small subunit ribosomal RNA
Source: RNAcentral
UACGUAGGGUGCAAGCGUUGUUCGGAAUUACUGGGCGUAAAGGGCUCGUAGGUGGCCAACUAAGUCAGACGUGAAAUCCCUCAGCUUAACUGGGGAACUGCGUCUGAUACUGGAUGGCUUGAGAUUGGGAGAGGGACGCGGAAUUCCAGGUGUAGCGGUGAAAUGCGUAGAUAUCUGGAGGAACACCGGUGGCGAAGGCGGCGUCCUGGACCAACACUGACACUGAGGAGCGAAAGCCAGGGGAGCAAACGGG